This 24-nucleotide non-coding RNA is filed under the name Mus musculus (house mouse). The record is from RNAcentral. Lineage: Eukaryota; Metazoa; Chordata; Mammalia; Rodentia; Muridae.
CACCUGUGGUCCUAGCUACUCAGG